GGGCCUAUAGUCUAGUGGUACGACGCUACAUUCGCAUUGUAGAAGCGGCGGUUCAAUUCCGCCUAGGUCCACUA
RNAcentral lists this transfer RNA (74 nucleotides) under Bacteroidota bacterium. Its description in RNAcentral is "Bacteroidetes bacterium (hot springs metagenome) tRNA-Ala". It matches the Rfam family "tRNA". Rfam says of the family: Transfer RNA (tRNA) molecules are approximately 80 nucleotides in length. Their secondary structure includes four short double-helical elements and three loops (D, anti-codon, and T loops). The record is from RNAcentral. Lineage: Bacteria; Pseudomonadati; Bacteroidota.